Linepithema humile (Argentine ant) is the source of this 977-nucleotide long non-coding RNA. RefSeq lists it as uncharacterized. Lineage: Eukaryota; Metazoa; Arthropoda; Insecta; Hymenoptera; Formicidae. The record is from RefSeq and is a predicted model, not a curated record.
UUAAUUUAAUUAGUAAUUGUUCAAACAAUAUUUAUGACAAUAAUGACUUUAAGACUUUUUUUACUAUUCCUUACAUUCCUUCGGUUUAUAAAGAUUUUAACUCCAUAGCCAGAAGCUUCAAUUUAAAAUUAUCAUGUUCAAUUCCUAACAAUCUAACACAAUUCAUACGGACGGGCAAAGACAGUUUAAAUAAAUUUUCACAUUGUCAGGUUGUUUACAUGAUAUCAUGUCGAGAUUGUGAGAAAACUUACGUGGGUCAGACAAAAAGACAGCUUAAUACUAGAAUCAAAGAACACAAGAAUGACAUAAAAAAGAGCUGUUCCCCCUCUGUUAUAUCCAAACAUAAAUUGGAUUUUUCUCACGAUUUUGACUGGGACAAUGUGAGAAUUCUGGACGGAGAACCUUCUUAUGGAAAGAGAUUGAUAUCUGAAAUGGUGUUCAUAAAAAGACAACGUGCAGACUUGAACAAUUAAAAUGACACAGAACGGUUACCGGACUCUUAUCUCCCUAUUAUUAAUUUGUUUCUCCCGUUAUAAUUGUAUCGUUUUUCUUUUCAUAUAUUAAUUCCUGUUUUCCCCUCCUAGGUACUUAUACCCUCCCCUCCAUACUCCUUUUUCUUUCCGUCCCCCUUCUCCACCGCCCUCUCACUAAUCUUUCAUCGCUUGAAUUUAUCGUUAUUCUAUCACGUACAUUGAGGUUUCAACCAUCACAUUAUAUGGUUCUAAGUUUUUUCUCCUACCUCGUUCCAUCUUAUGUGGAUGAGCUUUCUACUAUGUUUAACACAAUUUAACGUGGUUUUAACUACUCUUCAGUUAAUUAUGUCAAUUUACUUCGUUUUUUGUAUUUAAUUUUUGCGUUGCGUAUUGAUUGGUUUUUUUAAUAACAUUGAUAAAGGCCUGAUGACAGGCUGAAAACGUUUGUUCUUUAAUGUAUUGUUUCAAUGGUUAUAAAUUAAUACACGAUAACCUUCGCACGAA